RNAcentral lists this long non-coding RNA (493 nucleotides) under Hordeum vulgare. Its description in RNAcentral is "long non-coding RNA (HVUL_LNC010360)". Lineage: Eukaryota; Viridiplantae; Streptophyta; Magnoliopsida; Poales; Poaceae. The record is from RNAcentral.
UUCCUGUUCUCCGAGCUCUCCACCCUCACCCUCCGGGCCCCAGUAGACGUCAACCAACAUGAGGCACCGUCGCCACUCGCCGCGCCAUUCAUAGUACGCAGCCUGGACAUCUCCAUGCAUGAAAUUGGCUUCUGGGAUAAGCGUAUCUUUUAUUUUCUUUUGAUCCUAGUACCUAAAGCAUGAACACUAUCUCAGUUAGUUGGGCUCAAUCAUCCAGUAGUUAUUAUGCUGAUAAAUUUAUCUCAGGAGAAACAGAUCAGCGCACCUAGAGAAUAAGAAUCAAGCAGGAAGCUAACACGCCCGUGAAGGGAGAUGUUGGGCUUGCGGUUAGCACCGCACACACGCGCAUGCACCUCGCGGACAGCUAGCUCCUCUCGAAACUCAAUGCAGCGCGCAACUGCAUGCACACGAGCUAGCGAUCGAUGACGAGGAUAUGCGCGCAAAGGCCGGGAGGUGACCAUCGACAAAUGUGCUCCUAAUCAUAUAUGCGCUC